UGCUUAAAAACUUAAUACUAGCACAUUGCUAUCAAUAUGCUAAAAUUACAAUCUUUUUAGCAGGGAAACAUGACAAUACAAUUAAUAUAACCCCAAAAAACUGACAAAACUUCAAGAGAAAUCAAAUCAACGUUAACAGCACGCCUACUUGAAUGUACGUGUUGAAGAAUUAUCCGGACGAGCGGACAGUCGUUUUUGGACGUUCGAGUAUCCACCUAUGUAAUAGGUUACCAUAUAAUAAAUGUCCCAAGCAGACUUUCGACGCUAUUUUGAGCUACUUGUAACCACAUUCCUAGUAUUGUCGCACUUUCUCCGUAUUGUCGAUUGCAAAUGUAUUCGAAUUAAAUAAUGGCAAGGUAUACUCAAUAUUCAUUCCCUCUGCUUAUAUAGGUCCUUCUCAUCCCAUCUUGGGUCCUGCUACCAGUUUUAAGGUCCGGGCGGCCGGGCCCUCGAGUGAAUGUCAAGUAGGCAUCCGUCUUAAGAAUGUGAGGAACACUAAUAACUUUCUUAAUGCAUAUUCAAUACUAGAGGAGAAAAAUGAAAAGAAUCGCCUGCAAAGCCUGAAAAAAGUGAACUCCUGCAUGCUCAAUCUUUGCAAAACAGUCCUCAAUGGGUAGGAAAUUAAAAUAUGUACGAUGGAUUUACUUGAAUCGGCUGGCAAAAGCGUUUGAGAGCUCAUUCAUUGCAGUUUGUGUGACGACUUUGCCGAUCUCUUGCUGGAUCUGCUGCUGCAUUCUUUGCGGUAACUGAGGCAUCCCUCCACGACUGCAGCAUUCACCAAGGAACCAAUUACAUUACAAAUUAAAAGCAGUCAAAAAAAAUAAUCCGCGCAAAAAUGUGAAAAUAAAGGCACAAGGCAACCCUGGGUCUAACAUUGAUGAUGAGCUCUGCAGCAUUCACCAAGGAACCAAUUACAUUACAAAUAAAAAGCAGUCUUAGAAGAAUAAUCCGCGGCAAAAAUGUAAAAUAAAGGCACAAGGCAACCCUGGUCUAACAUUGAUGAUGAGCUCGCUUUGGGAAAAAUCAUCAGCCAUUGCAAAAAAAAAAGAAAAAGAAUUAUGUGGUGAUAUUAUCGAAAUUGGAGAUUUUUAAUUAUUAUCACUGUUUAUCAAAGAUACAAGAAGAGUCCGCAUUGAAUAGGGAAAGUACAUGACCACCAGAUCUUCCCGCGUUUUUUAUUCUAGCCAAACAGAUACCCGACUAAAACUUCAUUUUUUGUGUAAAAUAACAUAGGAAAUGAAAACCAUAUAUCUUCUUCGAAUUCGGCCAAUUCAUCGGCAUAAAUGUGUUCAUGACUGACUUCACGCGGAUUUGACGUCUCUCAGUGAUGUAUAUUAAUUCCACUUACGCCAAAAAACACCAAAGAUCUUGAUUUUUGAAAUUUCCAUUUUCUUCAAGUUGGGGCGAUGUUUUUGACCAGACAGUCAAAACGUCAACCCGAAUGGAAAAAAAUUGAAAUUUCAAAAAUCAGGAUCCUUGGUGUUUUUUGGAGUGAGUGAAAUUAUUAUACAUCCUCAGAGACUCCAAAUCCUCGAGGAGUCAGUUAUGAACACAUUUUUGCCGAUAAAUUGGCCGCAUUCGAAAAAAAUACAUGGUUUCGAUUUCCAACGUUAUUUUCCACAAAAAAUGAAGAAGUGGUAGUCGCGUGUCUGACUGGCUGGAAUAAAAAACGUGGGAGAUCUGGUGGUCACGCACUUUUUCAAUUCAAUGCAGACUCUUGUUUUCUCUUAACUGUUCAUACAUUUGGAGGCCUGUGUUUCCCCUUUAGAUCCUUUAAAGCAGUGGUGAGCAAGCUUUGAUGCUUAAAGCUGUAAAGCUGAACACUGGCCUUAAAAUUAGCGGACAAAGCAAAAAUAUCCAAUCACCUAUUUAAAUCUUCUCAAAGAAUUUUAGCUUUCAUAUAGUUACCAAAACCAGGAGAAAUGGACCAGUUAAGCCGAGAGGGCACGUAGUUCAUUCCCUCAGACUCCAGUGCGAGAAAACCGAAGGGGAGGUAAAAUCGUACGAAAAAUCGUCUGCGCGGGAAAAAGGGGUCCUUCAAAACAUGUUUGGACAACUUUUUUUGUUACGCGUCAUAGACUGGAAAAUGACUGUGGCGACGCCAACCUCUUAAUUACCACAACGCUGCCGUUGUUGGCAUUUCGUUCCAGGUUCGGUUAGUUCUGGGGUGUUGAGAUAAGUUGAUCUCAAAUUGCAUUGCCGUGUAUCCUUCCAUUACGGAUUUCGCUGCCAUAUUUAUCUUGAGUUUGUGAGCUUAAAUCUGAAAGGAAAGAGCGCGCAGUUCUAACCCUGUUUUCGGCUGCCCUAAUGUUUUGCAUUUUAAAUUGAACUCUUCUCCGCGUUGAAGUCAACAAAAAAGUUGAGAGAAAAGUUGUAAGUUUAGUUUUUACAAUACUUUCGGUCUACAUAAUAAAACUAGCGGGCCCUGCCCCCUGACCGCUACGUGGCCCAACCCCCGGAGGGCGCCUC
Molecule: long non-coding RNA, 2469 nt
Filed under: Bemisia tabaci
Lineage: Eukaryota; Metazoa; Arthropoda; Insecta; Hemiptera; Aleyrodidae
Description: lncRNA ENSSSA1NGG003415
Source: RNAcentral